Athalia rosae (coleseed sawfly) is the source of this 333-nucleotide long non-coding RNA. RefSeq lists it as uncharacterized. NCBI's taxonomy places the organism in Eukaryota, Metazoa, Arthropoda, Insecta, Hymenoptera, Athaliidae. The record is from RefSeq and is a predicted model, not a curated record. The transcript has 3 exons.
AAUCGACUCACCGGGAGGUCCUGCUGGACCUGGUGGACCUUCGAUGAUUCCAGUUGGGAACUGAUCGCCAUUUAACUUUGUCGUUAAUCCCCGAUCUCCCUUGUCACCCCUGUCACCCUGAGGAAGACGAGGAAAAGAAGAAUUUACUCGCAGACUUUCAUCUCAACUACAUCGUUACUUGGACUCCGUUCAAUAUUUUUCCAGCUAGAAACGAGUUCUUUUUUUCUAUCCUCGAACCAACCUUGGGUCCGGAAGCUCCUGGAGGUCCUGUAGGACCGAUCGGUCCAAUCGGUCCCUGAAUACCUUUUUCACCCGGUGGACCAACUUCGCCCG